RNAcentral lists this ribosomal RNA (444 nucleotides) under uncultured delta proteobacterium. RNAcentral's name for it is "bacterial SSU rRNA". It matches the Rfam family "Bacterial small subunit ribosomal RNA", at positions 1088 to 1533 of the family's 1533-position model. Lineage: Bacteria; Deltaproteobacteria. The record is from RNAcentral.
CGCACGAGCGCACCCUUGCCUUUAGUUGCCAUCGGGUAAUGCCGGGCACUCUAGAGGGACUGCCUGCGUUAAGCAGGAGGAAGGUGGGGAUGACGUCAGGUCCUCAUGGCCCUUAUGUUCAGGGCUACACACGUGCUACAAUGGGCGGUACAAAGGGUCGCAAACCCGCGAGGGGGAGCCAACCCCAAAAAACCGUCCUCAGUUCGGAUUGGAGUCUGCAACUCGACUCCAUGAAGUCGGAAUCGCUAGUAAUCGCGGAUCAGCACGCCGCGGUGAAUACGUUCCCGGGCCUUGUACACACCGCCCGUCACACCAUGGGAGUUGGUUGUACCGGAAGUCGGUGUCCCAACCUUCGGGGGGGAGCCGCCUAUGGUAUGGCUGAUAACUGGGGUGAAGUCGUAACAAGGUAGCCGUAGGGGAACCUGCGGCUGGAUCACCUCCUUU